CCUACGGGCUGCUGCAGUGGGGAAUAUUGGACAAUGGGCGAAAGCCUGAUCCAGCCAUGCCGCGUGUGUGAAGAAGGCCUUCGGGUUGUAAAGCACUUUCAGUGGGGAAGAAAGCCUUGGGGCUAAUACCCUCGAGGAAGGACAUCACCCACAGAAGAAGCACCGGCUAACUCCGUGCCAGCAGCCGCGGUAAUACGGAGGGUGCGAGCGUUAAUCGGAAUUACUGGGCGUAAAGCGCGCGUAGGCGGUCUGAUAAGCCGGUUGUGAAAGCCCCGGGCUCAACCUGGGAACGGCAUCCGGAACUGUCAGGCUAGAGUGCAGGAGAGGAAGGUAGAAUUCCCGGUGUAGCGGUGAAAUGCGUAGAGAUCGGGAGGAAUACCAGUGGCGAAGGCGGCCUUCUGGACUGACACUGACGCUGAGGUGCGAAAGCGUGGGUAGCAAACAGGAUUAGAUACCCGGGUAGUC
This 465-nucleotide ribosomal RNA is filed under the name Vreelandella stevensii. RNAcentral describes it as "partial 16S ribosomal RNA". It matches the Rfam family "Bacterial small subunit ribosomal RNA", at positions 338 to 795 of the family's 1533-position model. The record is from RNAcentral. Lineage: Bacteria; Pseudomonadati; Pseudomonadota; Gammaproteobacteria; Oceanospirillales; Halomonadaceae.